GCACCCGUCUCUACAACCAGCCGGUGGACGCCGACGGCACAGGCAAGCUCUACCGGGGUUUUUUGGAUUGCAUCCUGCAAAUCUCCAGCAAAGAGGGGCUGCUGGGCUUGUACAAGGGCAUCGGCGCCGUCUACCUCCGCCUCGGCCCCCACACCGUCCUCAGCCUCUUCUUUUGGGACGAGCUUAGGAAGAUGGUGCAGCACCAGCAGCCCCCAGGGCCGUAGGACGGGCUCCCGGCCCCGCCGCGGCCGUUAAUAAAGGGGUUUUUC
Pygoscelis adeliae (Adelie penguin) is the source of this 269-nucleotide long non-coding RNA. RefSeq lists it as uncharacterized. NCBI's taxonomy places the organism in Eukaryota, Metazoa, Chordata, Aves, Sphenisciformes, Spheniscidae. The transcript is spliced from 2 exons. The record is from RefSeq and is a predicted model, not a curated record.